CGAAAGCCCCGCAAGGGGUAAGUAGAGUGGCAAACGGGUGAGUAACACGUGGGUGACCUACCUUCGAGUGGGGGAUAACCUUCCGAAAGGAGGGCUAAUACCGCAUGACAUCCCAUGUUUGGAUACAUGGACAUCAAAGCCGGGGAUCGCAAGACCUGGCGCUUGAAGAGGGACCUGCGCCCGAUUAGCUAGUUGGUGGGGUAACGGCCCACCAAGGCUUCGAUCGGUAUCCGGCCUGAGAGGGCGGACGGACACACUGGAACUGAGACACGGUCCAGACUCCUACGGGAGGCAGCAGUGGGGAAUUGUUCGCAAUGGGCGCAAGCCUGACGACGCAACGCCGCGUGGAGGAUGAAGACUUUCGGGUCGUAAACUCCUUUCGACCGAGAUGAAUAGCCCGGGAUUUAAUACGUCCCGGGCCUGACAGUAUCGAGGGAAGAAGCCCCGGCUAACUCCGUGCCAGCAGCCGCGGUAAUACGGGGGGGGCAAGCGUUGUUCGGAAUUACUGGGCGUAAAGGGUUCGUAGGUGGCUUGCUAAGUCAGACGUGAAAUCCCUCAGCUUAACUGGGGAACUGCGUCUGAGACUGGCGAGCUUGAGGGCAGGAGAGGAACGCGGAAUUCCAGGUGUAGCGGUGAAAUGCGUAGAUAUCUGGAGGAACACCGGUGGCGAAGGCGGCGUUCUGGACUGCAUCUGACACUGAGGAACGAAAGCCAGGGGAGCAAACGGGAUUAGAUACCCCGGUAGUCCUG
RNAcentral lists this ribosomal RNA (750 nucleotides) under uncultured Acidobacteriota bacterium. RNAcentral's name for it is "bacterial SSU rRNA". It matches the Rfam family "Bacterial small subunit ribosomal RNA", at positions 67 to 798 of the family's 1533-position model. The record is from RNAcentral. Lineage: Bacteria; Pseudomonadati; Acidobacteriota.